AUACGACGUAAAAUAAAAAGGCAAAAUACACCCAAAUAUGGCCGCAAAAAAUGGUUGCGAAAUUUUUGCAAUUCUGCAAUAUUGAUUACGGGUCGAAAAUAUAGACACCGUAUGAUGCAUAAAAUGAUGAAAUACACGUUGAAAAUUCUUCAAACUGUAGAUAUGAGGAUAACUUGGAACUCGCCACAGGGAAGGUCUUCUCCACACCGGUCGGUACUUUUGUGCCCAAAUGCAGCCUCCCACUCGCAGAUUCUUCUUAAUGACGCAAAUAUGGUCUCAAAGUACGAGGGGAUCGUAUACAGACGCAGCUUACUAUCUGUGCAGACUCACGUAUAUUCCGCCGGUAAUUUAGUGGAUAAAAAGGACUUAUAUUCCACUCGAAGGACUAAUUCAUUUGCUCGAAGGACCAAUUCUUUUGUUUAGCACAAAGAUAAGUUUGAUAAUGAACUUCACUGAUUUUAAUUAAUUAAUUUUGUGGAAGUAAAAUAAAACCACCAUUAUAGUUACAUGGUUAAA
Molecule: long non-coding RNA, 516 nt
Filed under: Pectinophora gossypiella (pink bollworm)
Lineage: Eukaryota; Metazoa; Arthropoda; Insecta; Lepidoptera; Gelechiidae
Description: uncharacterized LOC126373916
Source: RNAcentral